CCUACGGGUGGCAGCAGUGAGGAAUAUUGGUCAAUGGCCGAGAGGCUGAACCAGCCAAGUCGCGUGAGGGAAGACGGCCCUACGGGUUGUAAACCUCUUUUGUCGGGGAGCAAAGCGAACCACGUGUGGUUCAUUGAGAGUACCCGAAGAAAAAGCAUAGGCUAACUCCGUGCCAGCAGCCGCGGUAAUACGGAGGAUGCGAGCGGUAUCAGGAUUUUUUGGGUUAAAGGGGUGAGCAGGCGGAGGUGCAAGUCAGCGGUCAAAUUGCGGGGCUCAACCCCGUACUGCCGUUGAAACUGCAUCCCUUGAGUGCGCGAGAAGUAUGCGGAAUGCGUGGUGUAGCGGUGAAAUGCAUAGAUAUCACGCAGAACUCCGAUUGCGAAGGCAGCAUACCGGCGCGCAACUGACGCUCAUGCACGAAAGCGUGGGUAUCGAACAGGAUUAGAUACCCCUGUAGUC
Molecule: ribosomal RNA, 459 nt
Filed under: uncultured bacterium
Lineage: Bacteria
Description: partial 16S ribosomal RNA
Rfam family: Bacterial small subunit ribosomal RNA
Source: RNAcentral